This is a long non-coding RNA of Macadamia integrifolia, 463 nucleotides long. RefSeq lists it as uncharacterized. Lineage: Eukaryota; Viridiplantae; Streptophyta; Magnoliopsida; Proteales; Proteaceae. The record is from RefSeq and is a predicted model, not a curated record. The transcript has 2 exons.
GCUCGCAUACCUGCUCGUCAUAUUUCAACCGAGAUUUUCCAAAAUCGAAGACCUAACAGGGUCAUUAUAUUUCACGCCUUCACUCACUGGUUUCCCACGCAGUGAGCAACCAUUGUAAAUCUCCAAGAAAUCCGAUCAUCUUCCUUCCCAAAACUGAAACCCAAAGUCAGGUACGCUAUUUUCCUCUCCCACUUCUCUUUAUUAUGAUUUUUCUUGUAUUUCGAUCUAUUCAUUACCAUUAAAUCUCAUAUUACAACCGAGUUUUUCAAAAUCUAAGAGUAAAGCCUUUCCGCCUUCACUCCCUGUUUCCCACGAAGUGAGAGCACCGCUGUAAAUCUCCCUCAAAAUCGAUCAUCUUCCUUUCCAAAAGGUGAAACCCCAACUCAGUGAGAGCAACCAUUGUCAAGAACCCCUGAAGAAACUCGAUCAUCUUUCUUCCCAAAAGCUGAAACCCUAAGUCAGG